This 5524-nucleotide long non-coding RNA is filed under the name Manihot esculenta (cassava). RNAcentral describes it as "long non-coding RNA (MESC_LNC009933)". The record is from RNAcentral. Lineage: Eukaryota; Viridiplantae; Streptophyta; Magnoliopsida; Malpighiales; Euphorbiaceae.
AAUAAAGUUUGCACAAGGCUUGUCCUGCUACUUUCCAAGCAAACCCACAAUAUUUAGCAUCUCCUCGGGCCUUGGCAAAAUUAUAAGAAAUAUGGUAGAUUGCAAGUGCUUCUUCAAAUACGUCUUCUUCCUUCCUCUUGCUCUCUUCAAAUUCUGAUGCUUCGUAUAAUAUCUAUUCAGAAACAAAGGGUGGGAAAAAAGAAGAAGAGGUUUUUACCCAUAAGACCGUUUUAACUGGACAAAAUAUUAAAAAGGUGAGGAGAAUAUUAUUUGAAUUACCGCCUUGUAUUUUUUAAUGACUUCAUUUGCAGCCUCGUUUUUUGUCUCUGUAUUUUGAUUUAAAGCAUCUGUCAUAUCUUGUCUGUAGUGUUUAUACAACUCCUCCCAUUUCAUCAGGCAUGACUCGGAGACUUCUUCAUUGAAAUAAUGGAGUUUCCAAACUUCUACAAAACAAUAAUAAUAAGGCAUCCAAGACUGUCAAACUGACUUUUUAACCUAAAAUCCGCGAAGGAUUUCAAAAUUCAUAUGGUAAAAUACAAUCUUAUGAUUUUAAACUUGAAAUACCUUUCAAAGAGUAAUAUAAACUUUCAUAUACAGCACAGAGGUUUAUUGAGACAAACUUUAUAAUAUAUUAUUUAGUACAAUAUUUUACUUAUUUUAACUUUAAAUGUAAUGUUCCUUUCACCAAGAUAUUAAUAUGAGUAUAAUUAAAAUUGCAUGUAUAUAUAUAUAUAUGUGUGUGCAUACACUUCAUAUUUGAAAACGUAAUUCCUCGGUUUACAACUUUAAAAAAUAUAAAAAUAAAUAAUAAAAAUAUUUGACCAAUAAUAUACAAAAAUUAGAUGAAUAACAAAAGUUGUUCAAAAUAUAAUAAAAGAAAAGUUACAAUAAAUAUUUAUGAUAAAUGUAAUAACAUAAAUAGUUUUUUACCAUAUUUAAAAUCUUAUGAAUCCAGUGUUAAAAUAAACAAAUAUUAAAAGAUAAUAUUUCAUAUUUUAAAAUUCCAAAUAUAUAAAAAUUAUGAAAUCAUAAAAUCGCAAAAUCAUGUUAAUUUCAAAUAUAAUUUUACUAUUUAAAUCGUGGUUUUGUCUUAAUUUUACUCGAUAAUUUUUAAUGAUCUUAACUCAAAAUCAAACGGGUCAACUCAAGAUUUUAACAACUAUGUGACAUGCUGACAGCCAUAAACUUUCAAACGUAGGAAUGUAAUACUACAUCUAAAUCCAAAGUGUGCCUACAAUUUUUGGCAACUUAAUCAUGCCAUGAUGCUCAGAAGCUUCAAUUUUGAUAGUCAGACGCUUACCGGUUUCUAGUGUAUCCUCUUCCAUGUACAAUUUCACUUUGUCAUAUAUUAAUCCCAGGAUAGAGGUAGACUUAUAAGAAAUCUCUUCCUUUUUUUCCAUAUGGUGUGGAAAUAAUUCAGCCUUCAAUUGCUCUGGAAGUUCGAUCUGUUUAAAAUGGCAAAAAUGUCAAAUUCAUUUCAAAAUAGGAGCAAACAGUCAAAUCACUCUAAAUCGAAUAUUGCAAACAAUAAAUUUUGUUCUUAAAUCAUAAGGAACAAACUACACCAGUACAAUUGUGCAAAUAACUUCUAAAAGCUAAGUUGUUUCAAAUUUCAAUAUAAUUUGAUAUUUAUUUCUACUCUUCUUUCAUCAGGUUCUACAUAUAUGAUGUUCAACUUAUAAUUUUAGGGCUUGAUAGAAUAUAUUCUAAACUUUAUUCAUUUUUCAAUUUAUGCUUUUCAUUCUAUUCAAUAUACUCCGUAAAUUAGUUUAUAUUGAUUGUAUGCAAUAGCUACAGGGUACGUCCAUGCUAAAGUAGACUUUCACAUGUACAAAAAUGAAUAACUCUCCCCCCAGCCUUAAGAGCCACAAAACAAUGGUGUCAUGCGAAUAAAAUAGUUUAAAUCACCCGGAGAAAAUUUUUAACUAAAUGACGACAUAUGAUGGCUGCUACAGUUUAUGCGGCCUUGCUUCUUUCAUAUGUUAACAUAAGCACGUCCCAAACAUGACACAAUUGAAACAACAUCAAUAAUUUAGGAAAGAAAUGGAUAAAAUUAAAGCAUAGGAUAAAAAUGAAAAGGCAUCAGCAGCCCUAAAAUGAGUGGAACUACAACUUAUCCAUUUUCUUUAUAUAGGACUAAAGAGAAUAAAUACCGUAUUGUGUUUGAAAGGUCUAGGAUAUUGAGGCCUAAAAAGAAGAGCAACAGGACAAUGCAAAGAGGCACAAAAUUCAGAUGCCCUAAAAAGUUGCAAAACUCCAAAUCCCAAACAUAUUCCCAAGUCUAGGCAAGGGCUUAAUUUUCUUAAGCUCUACAAUGGACUUAAAACACCAGGAGUUUACGUAUGGAAAUGGAAAUGCGUUUAAGAAGCCAAAUGCAUAGGUGAAAAAUUAAAUGAUUUUUAAUUCAACAAUCAAACCAGAGGCAUUUAAGCUAUAACUACAUUUGCUUACCCAAUUACAAGUCUCCAUAAGCUAAAAGCUUCACCACAUGCCUUUUCAUAUUGACUUCAAUGCACUUUAAUUUAACAGACAUCAAAAGUGAUCCAAUACAUGCCAAGCCAAGUUCCAAGAAGUUAGACAAAUAAUUAAUCAAUUGCAAGACCCAGAUGAUGUCCAAAUCAGGUAACAUAAGAAUUAAGCAACAAACUUUUUCCAAUUUCAGUGACUAUUUUCAGUGCAACAUUACUGUAUGAAAGAAAAUUUUUGGGCAUAAUUUUCAUCUUUGUAUCUAGUAAGGCUGACAAUUAGCGACAAACUGUAGCAACAGGAACUUUAAGUUCACAGAAAACCCAUGCACAGGGUAGAACUCAAGGAAAUUCGACCUGAUUGAACAUUUUCAGAAGAUUACAUAUCCAAAUUCAUACUCAGCUGCAUUCUAGCUUAAAGUAAAACACACAAUCUCAGAACCUUUCCAUGUAUUAAUUCAACAGUCAAGAAAAGCUGUGAUACUAACCUUUUCCCCCCCUUUCUUUGGUGCAUCAAGAGCAUCAUAGUAUUUAUCAAUUAAGUCUAACAUGUUCCUCUUCAUGUUAUUUCUCUCAUCAUUUCUGUCAUCUCCCAAUAUCAGAAGCCUAUCCAUUAUUGCCAACCAACUAUCAGCUGCCACACCCAUAGUGUAACUGAGAGCAGCCAAAAGAGUGUACAAAUAUCUUUAGUAGAUUCCAACAGGAAAAAGCUACAGAAAUCAUAUAAAGAAAUUAUCAGGGAAAAUUAAAAGAAAAGGGGAAAUUCCUUACUACACCAAAGCAUUAUAUCAAAUGAGUGACUACCAUGUACCAUGAUCGUAUAGCAUUUACGGUUACAUGCCACUCGUUUGUUGAACCAUGUGUAAAGCACUCAUGAUUCAUGGAAAUGAUUCAUUCAUUUAGUGCAAUACUCUUGAGUGUAGCGAAGUGGUUUCCUAAAAAUAUAUAUGCAUUUGACAUUACUAAGAAGCAUGCCAGAAACUUUUAAACCUUAGUUAAAAAUCUUUUUAAGGCGUAACAUGCUUGAAAAGAUGAUUAACCCAUAUACUUUUUCAUGUCAAAUGCACAACCAUUGUGAUAUUGAAAGACAAUUUAUCUAACAUAUAGCAAAUGCAGUGAAUAAUAGCCAAACAUUGUGAAAGCAAUAUGGUCUAUUCAAAAGCAAGUGCAUACCUUGGCUGAAAUCUAGUCAUCAGAAACAGUCUGAACAACUCGUCUUCUAAUUCCUCAUCAGAAAAAUCACUAGGUUUCUUAUUAGGCACAUUACUGCUAGAAAAGGGAGGAUUCCAAGGUUCACUCUGAUUGAACUUCUCUACCAGCUGGAUGGAAAACAUUUUAGGUGCUUACAUUUCAAACUGACAGCUACUUAAUUAGGAAUAAAAGCUGGAAUUUAACUCAAUCCCGAACUUUGAAGAUUAAGCAACAUAUAUCAUCACUGGUAAUCAGUCAAGAAUCAACAAUCAAACAUAAGCAAGGACACACAUAAGCCAAAAAGGUCAUGCACCAUUGCGUGGAAAAGCAAUCAAUUUCACAUAUUCCAAGCAACAGGAGUCCAAAUUUUUUCCUCCUGCUGCCCCUUCUCCAUUUGAGUAAAAGAAAGGGAAAACAAGGACUAGAAAUCAUGACCUGUCUCAGCUCCCAAAAAGUAGGAGUCAAGGUAAAACUAGUAUUCAGCGGUCAACAGCAUAUCACAGAAAACUUACACGACUAAGGUAGUACAUGAAACACAGCACAUGUUCAUUUUGUAAUACACAUUUUUAAUAUCAACUUCUCUCAAUACUUUUUGCUUAAUAGAUUUGAAUAUAAGAUUUCAAAAGUUCGUGAUUUAUAAGAGAGAAUACCUACGACUUACCACCUCUCCCAAGAACACUUGAUGUGUAGCCUACAGAACCAAUGAUCAUUAUACUUGCUAAUCAGCCUAGUCUCAAACUCUUGUUCACUUGAGCACAAUCAAAUUGGCUGUCAACACUUCUACUUAUGGGUGUGUAUUCAACCAUUGAAACUGAAGACCAAAAUGAAUCAAUUAAAUUCAGUUUUUUGGUUUAGGCCUUUAGUUUUGGUAGGUUCAUUCAAAAAAUUUAACUAAAACGAACUGAUAUACGGAAAACACAUAUACCCUUUGCCAUUUCACAAUAUACUCAGCUGCUUAGAGAAAUUAUAAGUGUCUUUCAAUGUUCCCCCAUCCUGAUGCCCUAAACAUCUCAUCCUUGGUCUCUAGAUAGUAGCUUUGUGCUCUUUUCGAGAUCCCACUCAUCUUAUUUCUCAUCUUUGGCACUGGACUUGCCUUUUGCUUCUCCACUGUCGCUGCAUCACUUGCAGUUAUCCUUACAACUGUUGGUUCUACUCAGGUGCACCACCUUUUUCUCCCUCCUGCAUUGGAUCCACAAUGUUUCUCAGUGGUUCUGCAAUUUUGCAUCUGUGGCAUGCUACCCUGCAUGUGAAAGCUGAUUCAAGACUCUCGAGUUUGUGGCUCUUUCAAGUAAUGUUGUCUGUCUCAUCUUUCAAGUUGCAGAUUUUCCAUUGUUCUUCUCCACUAAUAUGUAUCUCAAUAAGUCUAGAGGUAGAGGCAGAGGCAGAGGGAGUGAGGGCAUGAGGGACAUUCUUAGUAUUUGGUGGUCAAAUUCCACUUUCCACCAUUCUUUUGGAUGUGUUGCUUUUGGUUUGUAUUGUGAUUCGUUAGUAUUUUGUUCUCAUUUUAUGGCUUUUGUUGGCUAAUUAUGUUAGUUUGAGAAUGAUAAUGUUAUUUAUUGUUACUUUGAUUUGAUAUAAGACUGAUGUUGGAUUUGUUUGAAGAACUGAUGGACUGAACCCAAUUGAACAGAUUUAUUUCAAUUCAUUUCAAUUUCUGAAAAAAUGUUACUUUGGUCAUUUGAUUAUCCUUUUUUUUUCAAUUCAGUUCAGAACUGAAUAUAUCCAUUACACACCCAUAUUUUACUCUCAUGAACUAAUCCCUACCCACUUCCAGACUCGUACAUUCUGGCGCAAGGACGAUCCUUGGCUAUUUUUCACUAAAAUGUAGGUCUUGAUGGGAACCUAUCCAUGUGCAAGCAUAGCAAAUU